UGAGGAAUCUUGCGCAAUGGGGGAAACCCUGACGCAGCCAUGCCGCGUGGGUGAAGAAGGCCUUCGGGUCGUAAAGCCCUGUCAAAAGGGAAGAACCGCUUGAAACCCAAUAAGUUUCAGGCCUGACGGUACCUUUAAAGGAAGCACCGGCUAACUCCGUGCCAGCAGCCGCGGUAAUACGGAGGGUGCAAGCGUUGUUCGGAAUUACUGGGCGUAAAGGGUGUGCAGGCGGCUAGGUAAGUCCGAUGUGAAAUCCCUCGGCUCAACUGAGGACGUGCAUCGGAUACUGCUUAGCUUGAGUCUCGGAGAGGGGGGUGGAAUUCCCGGUGUAGAGGUGAAAUUCGUAGAUAUCGGGAGGAACACCAGUGGCGAAGGCGACCCCCUGGACGAUGACUGACGCUGAUACACGAAAGCGUGGGUAGCAAACAGGAUUAGAUACCCUGGUAGUCCACGCCGUAAACGGUGUCCAUUAGGUGUCGUGGGUAUUGACCCCCGCGGUGCCGCAGCUAACGCAUAAA
This 518-nucleotide ribosomal RNA is filed under the name uncultured marine bacterium. Its description in RNAcentral is "bacterial SSU rRNA". It matches the Rfam family "Bacterial small subunit ribosomal RNA", at positions 355 to 863 of the family's 1533-position model. The record is from RNAcentral.